RNAcentral lists this ribosomal RNA (253 nucleotides) under Roseburia faecis M72/1. Its description in RNAcentral is "partial 16S ribosomal RNA". It matches the Rfam family "Bacterial small subunit ribosomal RNA", at positions 524 to 776 of the family's 1533-position model. The record is from RNAcentral. Lineage: Bacteria; Bacillati; Bacillota; Clostridia; Lachnospirales; Lachnospiraceae.
UACGUAUGGUGCAAGUGUUAUCCGGAUUUACUGGGUGUAAAGGGAGCGCAGGCGGUGCGGCAAGUCUGAUGUGAAAGCCCGGGGCUCAACCCCGGUACUGCAUUGGAAACUGUCGUACUAGAGUGUCGGAGGGGUAAGUGGAAUUCCUAGUGUAGCGGUGAAAUGCGUAGAUAUUAGGAGGAACACCAGUGGCGAAGGCGGCUUACUGGACGAUAACUGACGCUGAGGCUCGAAAGCGUGGGGAGCAAACAGG